GGCUUCGUGGUCGAGUGGUAAAGACACUUGUCUCUCACUCUGAAGUCCCGAGUUCGAUCCCCGAUCGAGGAACUA
This 75-nucleotide transfer RNA is filed under the name Rhamnusium bicolor. RNAcentral's name for it is "tRNA-OTHER". The record is from RNAcentral. Lineage: Eukaryota; Metazoa; Arthropoda; Insecta; Coleoptera; Cerambycidae.